This 756-nucleotide long non-coding RNA is filed under the name Mus musculus (house mouse). RNAcentral's name for it is "predicted gene, 56553". The record is from RNAcentral. Lineage: Eukaryota; Metazoa; Chordata; Mammalia; Rodentia; Muridae.
AGAGUCACACCAGGGCAGUCCUGGUGCCAAAGGCUGGGCCCGGGAGGAGCACAGCACAGCUCUUCCACAUGUUGGCAGCCCAAGCUCUGGCUUUCAUACUGAGUCCAAUCCAGGAACUCACGAGGCUAAGGACUCUUAUUAUCUUUUAAUCUCUUCGGUUGUGUUGACUGGAGUUCAGUUAUGUGGAUGUGAGAGGCACACACAAAAAGCAGAGAAGCAGCUGGUGCCACAACUGGGCCGGCUGUGCUUUAAGGUACAGUACCAGAGAAAGCCCUAGCUCCUGUUCAAAGCCAGCAAGCGGACUGAUUGCUCUGCUUAAAGAACCUGAUGUCAUCUUCAUAAAGAAAAAAAAUUGAUUUUUAAAAAGUCAUGGUGGCAGUUCUAAAGUCAGCCUAAGUGCUUGCCAACAAAUGAAUAGAUAAAUGUGAUAGAAAGUUUUAUUCAUAAAGAACAACAGAAUGGUUAGAUUUAAUCAAACACAUGCACACACACGCACAUAACUUACAUAUGUUCUCACACACUCAGAUACACACUCACUCAGACACAUACUCACAUGAGAUAGGAAAAAAGAUAAAGGAGGAGAAUUAAGGAGGAGGAUAAGAGAGAGCAGUGUGUGAGUUGGGGGAAUAAAUAUGUGGGAAAUGACACAUAUGAAUAAAGAUGAUACAUAUAAAUUGUCAUAAUGGACACCAUUAUUUUGUAUGCUAACUAAAAACAGUUUAAAAAGAACACAAUUAUGCCAUUUUCAGCAAAAAA